This 256-nucleotide unclassified non-coding RNA is filed under the name fungal sp. Its description in RNAcentral is "partial internal transcribed spacer region". The stretch from base 1 to 47 matches the Rfam family "Eukaryotic small subunit ribosomal RNA", at positions 1785 to 1831 of the family's 1831-position model. Lineage: Eukaryota; Fungi. The record is from RNAcentral.
GAAGUCGUAACAAGGUAACUGUAGGUGAACCUGCAGUUGGAUCAUUAACGCAUAUCUACACCAGAAGGGUGCUCUUCGCAAGAGGGGUUAUCUGGACGGACAUUUUGUGAACCAUUGAAGUCUGUAAUUUUACCUUUUAUCAACACUUUACCGUGAAAAGGAAUAUUCUCAUGGAGGCAUUAACGUGCUUCGUCUAUUUUAAAAGCAAGCUUGCUUGCGAAAACUGUACAACUUAUAACAACGGAUACCUUGGCUA